This 497-nucleotide ribosomal RNA is filed under the name uncultured bacterium. Its description in RNAcentral is "partial 16S ribosomal RNA". It matches the Rfam family "Bacterial small subunit ribosomal RNA", at positions 28 to 507 of the family's 1533-position model. The record is from RNAcentral.
GAUGAACGCUGGCGGCGUGCCUAAUACAUGCAAGUCGAGCGAACAGAUGAGGAGCUUGCUCCUCUGACGUUAGCGGCGGACGGGUGAGUAACACGUGGAUAACCUACCUAUAAGACUGGGAUAACUUCGGGAAACCGGAGCUAAUACCGGAUAAUAUAUUGAACCGCAUUGUUCAAUAGUUAAAUACGGUUUUGCUGUCUCUUAUAGAUGUAUCCGCGCCGCAUUAGCUAGUUGGUAAGGUAACGGCUUACCAAGGCAACGAUGCGUAGCCGACCUGAGAGGGUGAUCGGCCACACUGGAACUGAGACACGGUCCAGACUCCUACGGGAGGCAGCAGUAGGGAAUCUUCCGCAAUGGGCGAAAGCCUGACGGAGCAACGCCGCGUGAGUGAUGAAGGUCUUCGGAUCGUAAAACUCUGUUAUUAGGGAAGAACAAAUGUGUAAGUAACUAUGCACGUCUUGACGGUACCUAAUCAGAAAGCCACGGCUAACUACGUG